UACGAAGGGAGCUAGCGUUGUUCGGAAUCACUGGGCGUAAAGCGCACGUAGGCGGACUUGUCAGUCAGGGGUGAAAUCCCGGGGCUCAACCUCGGAACUGCCUCUGAUACAGCAAGUCUUGAGUCCGGAAGAGGUGGGUGGAAUUCCUAGUGUAGAGGUGAAAUUCGUAGAUAUUAGGAAGAACACCGGUGGCGAAGGCGGCCCACUGGUCCGGUACUGACGCUGAGGCGCGAAAGCUAGGGGAGCGAACGGG
Molecule: ribosomal RNA, 253 nt
Filed under: uncultured bacterium
Lineage: Bacteria
Description: partial 16S ribosomal RNA
Rfam family: Bacterial small subunit ribosomal RNA
Source: RNAcentral